This 253-nucleotide ribosomal RNA is filed under the name uncultured bacterium. Its description in RNAcentral is "partial 16S ribosomal RNA". It matches the Rfam family "Bacterial small subunit ribosomal RNA", at positions 524 to 776 of the family's 1533-position model. The record is from RNAcentral.
UACGUAGGGUGCGAGCGUUGUCCGGAAUUACUGGGCGUAAAGAGCUCGUAGGUGGUUUGUCGCGUUGUCCGUGAAAACUCACAGCUCAACUGUGGGCGUGCGUGCGAUACGGGCAGACUGGAGUACUGCAGGGGAGACUGGAAUUCCUGGUGUAGCGGUGGAAUGCGCAGAUAUCAGGAGGAACACCGGUGGCGAAGGCGGGUCUCUGGGCAGUAACUGACGCUGAGGAGCGAAAGCGUGGGGAGCGAACAGG